RNAcentral lists this ribosomal RNA (692 nucleotides) under uncultured bacterium. RNAcentral describes it as "bacterial SSU rRNA". It matches the Rfam family "Bacterial small subunit ribosomal RNA", at positions 56 to 742 of the family's 1533-position model. The record is from RNAcentral.
UGCAAGUCGAACGGUAACAUGAGAGCUUGCUCUUGAUGACGAGUGGCGCACGGGUGCGUAACGCGUAUGCAACUUACCUCUAACUGGAGGAUAGCCCCGAGAAAUCGGGAUUAAUACUCCAUAGUAUUUCGGAAAGACAUCUUUCCGUUCUUAAAACUCCGGUGGUUAGAGAUGGGCAUGCGUCCUAUUAGUUUGUUGGUGAGGUAACGGCUCACCAAGACUACGAUAGGUAGGGGGCCUGAGAGGGUGAUCCCCCACACUGGUACUGAGACACGGACCAGACUCCUACGGGAGGCAGCAGUGAGGAAUAUUGCACAAUGGACGAAAGUCUGAUGCAGCCAUGCCGCGUGCAGGAUGACGGCCCUACGGGUUGUAAACUGCUUUUAUAUAGGAAGAAACCCCCCAACGUGUUGGGGGCUGACGGUACUAUAAGAAUAAGGACCGGCUAACUCCGUGCCAGCAGCCGCGGUAAUACGGAGGGUCCAAGCGUUAUCCGGAUUUAUUGGGUUUAAAGGGUCCGUAGGCGGAAAAAUAAGUCAGUGGUGAAAGCCUGCAGCUUAACUGUAGAACUGCCAUUGAUACUGUUUUUCUUGAGUCUAGAUGAAGUGGGCGGAAUGUGUCAUGUAGCGGUGAAAUGCAUAGAUAUGACACAGAACACCGAUUGCGAAAGGCAGCUCACUAAACUAGUACUG